UUGCUGUGAAAUUCUGGCUUAGACGAUUCUGAGGAUACAGAUCAUUGUUCAAACUGACACAGAGUUUGAGACAUUCAUUGCAUUAUGAAGACCCAAACUGUUUCAAUCGCUUUUGCCGCUCUUCUUCUUAAUUUACUUUUGACUACGGAAACCGAUUGUUUUACUGGACCAAUACCUUCAAGUAAAAGAGAUCAUGAAGGAAAGUUUGACAGAGUAAUUAGGAAGGAAGAAGGGAAACGAGCAGGAAGCUUUGGACGCGAAGGAAUGGACAAGAGGUUCUCUGACAAAUGGAUAUCAGGGGAAAAGUAGCCAUGUUUACGUGGAGUUGAGAUCAUGGUGACGUCAUCUAAACAUGAUAGUGGAAAAAAGUUAUGUAAAUCAAAUGAUUUAAAUAAAAAAGGGACAGAAGGGAUUAAAAAAGGAGUAACAGAAAUUAAAGUUCUCUUUCUUGAAUUAUUUUGGGAAAUGAAGGAAACCAACUGAUUUAAAAAUUAAAUUCUAUAAGUUCUUGCCAGACAUUUUUUAAUUGUUUCACUCGCUGCAGUGUUUCUUGAUCAAUCCAUGAGACUUAACACCAUAAAAAUUUGUCACAUUUUUGUUUAAUCUCCAUUUCUAAGAAUCCACCAUGAAUUGGAACUGAGAAAUUGACAUACGUUCAUGACAAAUGUUCACAAUACCUUGAAAUGUGUAAAAAAGGAAUAAAUUAACUCCUCUAGAUUUC
Long non-coding RNA from Stylophora pistillata, 721 nucleotides. RefSeq lists it as uncharacterized. NCBI's taxonomy places the organism in Eukaryota, Metazoa, Cnidaria, Anthozoa, Scleractinia, Pocilloporidae. The record is from RefSeq and is a predicted model, not a curated record.